AAAAGACUUAGUCCUAACCUUACUAUUGAUUUUUGCUAGACAUAUACAUGCAAGUAUCCGCACCCCAGUGAAAAUGCCCUUAUAACUUUUAACAAGCAAAAGGAGCAGGUAUCAGGCUCCACCCAAGCGUAGCCCAAGACACCUUGCCAAAGCCACACCCCCACGGGUAUUCAGCAGUAAUUAACAUUAAGCAAUAAGUGUAAACUUGACUUAGCCAUAGCAACCUUAGGGUUGGUAAAUCUUGUGCCAGCCACCGCGGUCAUACAAGAAACCCAAAUCAAUAGUCACCCGGCGUAAAGAGUGGCCAUAUGUUAUCUCUAAUAACUAAGAUCAAAAUGCAACUAAGCUGUCAUAAGCCCAUGAUUCACUUAAGCCCCCUCAACCAUCUUAGCUACAUGACUAAUUUAAACCCACGAAAGCCAGGGUACAAACUGGGAUUAGAUACCCCACUAUGCCUGGCCCUUAAUCCAGAUACCCAUAUACCCCUGUAUCCGCCCGAGAACUACGAGCACAAACGCUUAAAACUCUAAGGACUUGGCGGUGCCCUAAACCCACCUAGAGGAGCCUGUUCUAUAAUCGAUAAUCCACGAUCCACCCAACCACCCCUUGCCCAAACAGCCUACAUACCGCCGUCGCCAGCCCACCUAAAUGAAAGACUUAAAGUGAGCUCAAUAGCCCCCGCUAACAAGACAGGUCAAGGUAUAGCCUAUGGGGUGGAAGAAAUGGGCUACAUUUUCUAGCAUAGAAUAGAACGAAAAAGGACAUGAAAUCAGUCCUUGGAAGGAGGAUUUAGCAGUAAAAUAGGACCAUACUUUUCAAGCCUAUUUAAAGACGGCCCUGGGGCACGUACAUACCGCCCGUCACCCUCUUCAUAGGCCUCAAACGCCAAUAAAUAAUACUUCUCCCAAAGCCAAAGACGAGGUAAGUCGUAACAAGGUAAGCGUACCGGAAGGUGCGCUUAGACUAUC
This 968-nucleotide non-coding RNA is filed under the name Lagopus muta islandorum. RNAcentral's name for it is "12S ribosomal RNA". It matches the Rfam family "Bacterial small subunit ribosomal RNA". Lineage: Eukaryota; Metazoa; Chordata; Aves; Galliformes; Phasianidae. The record is from RNAcentral.